RNAcentral lists this ribosomal RNA (460 nucleotides) under uncultured bacterium. RNAcentral describes it as "partial 16S ribosomal RNA". It matches the Rfam family "Bacterial small subunit ribosomal RNA", at positions 338 to 795 of the family's 1533-position model. The record is from RNAcentral.
CCUACGGGUGGCAGCGGUGAGGAAUAUUGGUCAAUGGACGAGAGUCUGAACCAGCCAAGUAGCGUGAAGGAUGACUGCCCUAUGGGUUGUAAACUUCUUGUAUAUGGGAAUAAAAUGUUCCACGUGUGGGAUUUUGUAUGUAACAUAUGAAUAAGGAUCGGCUAACUCCGGGCCAGCAGCCGCGGUAAUACGGAGGAUCCGAGCGUUAUCCGGAUUUAUUGGGUUUAAAGGGAGCGUAGGUGGAUUGUUAAGUCAGUUGUGAAAGUUUGCGGCUCAACCGUAAAAUUGCAGUUGAAACUGGCAGUCUUGAGUACAGUAGAGGUGGGCGGAAUUCGUGGUGUAGCGGUGAAAUGCUUAGAUAUCACGAAGAACUCCGAUUGCGAAGGCAGUUCACUGGACUGCAACUGACACUGAGGCUCGAAAGUGUGGGUAUCAAACAGGAUUAGAUACCCCUGUAGUC